Non-coding RNA from Sporisorium reilianum SRZ2, 96 nucleotides. The record is from Rfam. Lineage: Eukaryota; Fungi; Basidiomycota; Ustilaginomycetes; Ustilaginales; Ustilaginaceae.
GGCCCUAUAGCUCAGCGGUAGAGCGUCGGCUUCCAGUCUCUCUAAUUAUCGGAACUGCCAUUCCGAAGGCCACCCGUUCAAAUCGGGUUGGGGUCA